GUGCAAGGACAUUGUGGAUUACAAGAAAGUUUUAUGGUGAUAAAUAUAAAUAUUUAUAUUUAUCACCAUAAAACUUUCUUGUAAUCCACAAUGUCCU
This is a non-coding RNA of Pelobates cultripes (western spadefoot toad), 97 nucleotides long. Lineage: Eukaryota; Metazoa; Chordata; Amphibia; Anura; Pelobatidae. The record is from the annotation of a GenBank genome assembly.